GAUCAUGGCUCAGGAUGAACGCUGGCGGCGUGCCUAAUACAUGCAAGUCGAACGCUUUGUGGUUCAACUGAUUUGAAGAGCUUGCUCAGAUAUGACGAUGGACAUUGCAAAGAGUGGCGAACGGGUGAGUAACACGUGGGAAACCUACCUCUUAGCAGGGGAUAACAUUUGGAAACAGAUGCUAAUACCGUAUAACAAUGACAACCGCAUGGUUGUUAUUUAAAAGAUGGUU
RNAcentral lists this ribosomal RNA (232 nucleotides) under uncultured bacterium. RNAcentral describes it as "partial 16S ribosomal RNA". It matches the Rfam family "Bacterial small subunit ribosomal RNA", at positions 15 to 213 of the family's 1533-position model. The record is from RNAcentral.